Long non-coding RNA from Daucus carota subsp. sativus, 351 nucleotides. RefSeq lists it as uncharacterized. NCBI's taxonomy places the organism in Eukaryota, Viridiplantae, Streptophyta, Magnoliopsida, Apiales, Apiaceae. The transcript is spliced from 3 exons. The record is from RefSeq and is a predicted model, not a curated record.
GCUAUUAUCUUUACUAUUUAUUCACAGUGAAGAGGGCCAAGAGGUAACUCUGCUGUAAGCCUAUGCUAUAUUAGAUGAGCAGGAAUACGAGAUACAUUACUGGUAGGAGGAUAAGUCAAUUGCUGCUAUUCCGUACAUUGGACCAAGGGCGAGUGCUUUUCUAAUUGGACGUGUUCUCCUCGUUUAUGUUGUCCCUACUUCACAAUCAUAGCAGACGAGUCACUUAAGUGCCCGGAUGGUGAAACUGCAGAAUCCGGGCUAAAAGCGGCUACUUCAUCAGGGUUCUGGCUCGGGGUUGAAGGGAUAAUUGGGAUAGAAGCAGAGUCAGUUGAAGGCAUGACGCCACCAGAA